AACCAGCACCUCAAGUGGUCAGGAUGAUUAUUGGGCCUAAAGCAUCCGUAGCCGGCUCUGUAAGUUUUCGGUUAAAUCUGUACGCUCAACGUACAGGCUGCCGGGAAUACUGCAGAACUAGGGAGUGGGAGAGGUAGACGGUACUCGGUAGGAAGUGGUAAAAUCCUUUGAUCUAUUGAUGACCACCUGUGGCGAAGGCGGUCUACCAGAACACGUUCGACGGUGAGGGAUGAAAGCUGGGGGAGCAAACCGG
RNAcentral lists this ribosomal RNA (253 nucleotides) under uncultured archaeon. RNAcentral describes it as "partial 16S ribosomal RNA". It matches the Rfam family "Archaeal small subunit ribosomal RNA", at positions 474 to 727 of the family's 1478-position model. The record is from RNAcentral.